Molecule: ribosomal RNA, 497 nt
Filed under: uncultured bacterium
Lineage: Bacteria
Description: partial 16S ribosomal RNA
Rfam family: Bacterial small subunit ribosomal RNA
Source: RNAcentral
GAUGAACGCUGGCGGCGUGCCUAAUACAUGCAAGUCGAGCGAACAGACGAGGAGCUUGCUCCUCUGACGUUAGCGGCGGACGGGUGAGUAACACGUGGAUAACCUACCUAUAAGACUGGGAUAACUUCGGGAAACCGGAGCUAAUACCGGAUAAUAUAUUGAACCGCAUGGUUCAAUAGUGAAAGACGGUUUUGCUGUCACUUAUAGAUGGAUCUGCGCCGCAUUAGCUAGUUGGUAAGGUAACGGCUUACCAAGGCAACGAUGCGUAGCCGACCUGAGAGGGUGAUCGGCCACACUGGAACUGAGACACGGUCCAGACUCCUACGGGAGGCAGCAGUAGGGAAUCGUCCGCAAUGGGCGAAAGCCUGACGGAGCAACGCCGCGUGAGUGAUGAAGGUCUUCGGAUCGUAAAACUCUGUUAUUAGGGAAGAACAAAUGUGUAAGUAACUAUGCACGUCUUGACGGUACCUGAUCAGAAAGCCACGGCUAACUACGUG